AAGGGUUUAUCUUCCUCCUGCUCCUCCUUCUCUCCGUUUCCUGGCCAACCUGCUGUGAGCAGCUCUCCUCCUCCCAGGCCCUUCCACCUCGCCCUUCUCCCUGGGAAACACUGACCACGCAAGGACCUGGACUUCUAAACCUGAUUGGAACCCAGGACCUCACACAUGCAAGGGCCGCCCGAAGCCAUGCUCUUCCCGGCGGAGAGUGGGGGGGAACCGAGCCUCGCCAGCUGUUUUCUCCCGGACGCAGUGAACGGGCUGAUGCGUGAAUGUGGAAACCGCCAAGGCAGAAAUGAGCCCCGGCCUUCGACUCCCAGGAGGUCCAGCAAUGGGCCAUCAUCUCGGCCCAGCCCUAGACCCAGCCCUGGGCAAAGCCCCAGGCCCAGCCCCAGUUCCAGCCCUAGGUUCAGCUCCCGGCCCAGUACCCAGCCCACCUCCCCGUUGAGCCCUAGGCCCAAGCGUAGGUACAACCGUCCUCGUCAGCCUACCGGGCCUACUCAACAACUGAGCUGUGCCCCCCUCACCCACACCUUGGUUUCCCCCUGGGCUGAGCCUCCUUCCUGCAUCCCCACCCCUUUCCCCUGAAUGCCUGCAGAGCCCUGGAGUCCACGUACUGGGGACUGUCAUGCCUGACCUGAGUGAGACCUUCUCAGCAAACAUGCUGUCUUCAGCAAACAACAGGAAACCACUAAAGGUCCAUGCUGUCCUCAGAACAGAUGGCCAUAAAGAAAAUUGAGGAUAGGAUAUGCAAUCUCCCCACUGCAGAGAAGUUCAGUGUUACCUGCAUACCUGCCCUGACCGUCCCGAGAUCCCUGACCACAGCAUUCCCCCCAGAUUCCUUAAGACACCACCCCUCGCCAAGUCCUAUAAACUUUGCUUCUUCUCCAGCCAGUUGCUGACAUCUUUUUUGAUCUCAGCCCAUUUUCACCCUGGUGGAGAAUAAACCAACCUUUUGCUCACACAAAGCCUGUUUCCCUCAUUUUGGUUCAAACAAUUACAAAUACUUCCUAUGGAGUUUUUAAUUUCCUGAAUAUCUGUUUGAAUCUGUUUCAUGCGUUCCUUUUUUUUCUAUGUUGGGUGUUCAUGGUUUCCAUCGUAUUCCUAAGCUGUUCUGUUUUUUUUUAUCUGUACAUACUCUAGGUUCAUUGAGCAUGUCCUUCAUUUUAAUGCCAUCUCUUUUAUUACCUGGAAGAUUAUUUUCUCUAUAGCCUCAUCUAUUUGUUUUUUCAACUCUGCAGUCAUCAAUUCAGAAAGAUCCAGUGAGUGGCUUCCAUUUCCCUCUAUCUCAUUGUCCCCUGGACUUAUCCUUGGUGGGCUGGCUGUCUGAGGUUGUAUUUUGCUUCUGUGUCUUUUCAUUUUCUAGUUUUUUGUUUCAUUUUGUUUUCUGAGAUGUUGCUUGUAGGUUUCUUAUGGUAUAUAGCUUUAUUACUUAUAUUGAUGUUUCUCUAGGGAGUGUCUAUUCCUCAAGGAUGUCUUCUCAGCAGGUGGUUCUUGGUUUUUGUGUCUAUCUGGAGAUUCUACCUUCCUAAUUUGUUAAGGAUGCAUGGUUGGUAUCUAUUUAGCUCAGCACCCAGUCCUUUGAUAUUGGACUAAGUUGAUGGUUGUGACCUCAGACAAUCACAAUGUUGGCAUUUAAAGGAGAACUUCUGGUUACAACAGGUAUGACAUCCUUGCUAAAGUAAUACAGUUAUCAUUAAGAGUAACAUCCAGCACAGGUAGCAGCUGACAUACUGUGGUAUCUGUUAGUUUGGUACCUUUAACAAUAUAAGCAAGCUCUACUUUUUAUAACAAAAUCCAAUAUAAACCAGGCAUUUGUAUGCAAUAAUAUCCAAUCCAACAUAAAUCACCCUAGUACAGUGGUUAUACCCUGUAGGAGGGAAUUUGAGAGAGAUAGGGGACAAUACAGAGAUAUAAGUGAAAAGAAGAAUAGUAGCAGCAAGGCUCGAGGGCACAGAAUGAAUACCCAGGUUUUGGGAGACUGGAGAAAAGGGCAAGAGAAAAAGACUGCAGGAGAAAGCAAAAGAAUAUUGAGGUGAACCAGAAAGACAGGAGACACUGUUCACUCAUAUGAAAAUAUCAUAGAAUCAAGAAAGAUACCUUGGGAAAGAGAGAGAGAGAGGAUGAAUAAAACAGAACAAAACUUAAGGUAAAAAAACCUAAACAAUCACAGACAUUCACACACACUGACACGUAAAAAACAAUAGCAACAAUAAAAAACAAAACUAACACCCCCCAAUAAAAAUAUAAAAUGCAAAACCAGACAGAUAACAGAAAACAAAUCCAGGAGUCAAAGAAAAAGGAAUAUAAUAAAAUUCCUCAGGUGGCUUGCACACAUUUCCCCACCGAGGCUGUUUCCACGGUGCUCUCUUAGCUGUUUUGGCAUUCUUUGGUGGAGCCAAGCCUGAGGCUGCUUCCAGGUCGCUGCACUCUCUGUCCCUCUGGGAUCCUGCUCCUUCCUCAGUUCUUCUCCACUGACUAGUUCAGUGGUUGUGUGGGGGGCACCUCUAGUCCUUAGUGGCUACUGCUAUUCUGUAUAGUGCUGGUCUCCACUUUGGCUUUUCAGCAUCUUUACUCAGUCUAUGGUCCAGUUGCCUGUGAGGGAGCUCUUCCUUCUUUCACUCUGGCUGUUGGCAGUGAGGCCCUGGGGCUAUUUGGAGAGAAAGCCCUGAGGUUUUUUUUGUAACAAGAUGGCUGCCCCCACCCACUCUGUACCACGCAUGACUGUGUGGGGGCUCCAUUCCCCCCUCACUUACCAAAUGUUGACUCUGGGAGGGGUCACCUUGGAAAGCAGUUGCUCUUAUUCUCACUGCUGUCUCUGAUUACAUAAAAUUCUUUUGAUCCAAGUCUGAUUUCUGUUUCUCAGCAUACAGUGAAAUUACUUUUGCUGCUACACCUCAGAGUACAGCUGCCCCACCACACAGGCUCCCUCUGCAUCAGUGAGUGAUUUCUUUUGUAGUAAUGGAUCCUACUUUCUUCUUUUUCUCUAUCCCUUUCCUUGUGGUUCCUUAUGCCCUUCAUUCAGCCACUUUGAUCUCUGAGUUGUUAGUUUUCAGAUUCUGGGUGCUUUUAUUGCAGAUAGCUAGGUUAGUUAGAAAUUACUAUAAGGCACUUACACAAAGCUGGGCCCUCAGCAUAGAAAAACAAUUGAGACACAUAAAGGAGCAGCUGCCUGGAAAUAUUUGUUCCAGCCCUUGUUCACAAAGGGGAGCUCAGUAAUUUCCAUAGCUUUAUGGGACAUAUACCCCAAUAAACAUUGCUAAACAUAUUAUUGUGAUACAUUUACGUUGUCAUGGUCAAGAGACUUUUCUGUGGGAAAGCAAUAAAAUUUUAUUUAAAAUGCUCUUGGUAUAAAACUAAAUUAAGGGACAAAGGGUUUCCUACAACUGUGAUACUCAUUGUUAUUUCAUGGUGUACUAAAUAAAUUCAUGACUUCUGGGUGUACAAGUCUUCAUAGAUAUUGUUUAUGGAAAUAAUCUUUUAAAAUUCAUAACGGUAAUAAUCUUUUUUGACUCAGGUAUCUGCCUUUCUCUUGUGCUCCAGCUACUUGCGAUAACAGGUACAUGUCAAGCUUGCAUGAGAUAACCAGCAAAAUAAUAGUUUUUCUUAAAAACUUAUAUGAUGUAUAUGUUAUAUAUGUCACAACACUUAGGGGUGCUCUGACACCAAACAGUCCAAACAAUGUGACACACUAAAAUUCGAUGCUAGAUAUUAUAA
This is a long non-coding RNA of Heterocephalus glaber (naked mole-rat), 3714 nucleotides long. RefSeq lists it as uncharacterized. The record is from RefSeq and is a predicted model, not a curated record. Lineage: Eukaryota; Metazoa; Chordata; Mammalia; Rodentia; Bathyergidae.